GCUGAGUGCUUCAGAUGUGGAGCUGGGUCU
This 30-nucleotide non-coding RNA is filed under the name Homo sapiens (human). The record is from RNAcentral. Lineage: Eukaryota; Metazoa; Chordata; Mammalia; Primates; Hominidae.